Molecule: non-coding RNA, 196 nt
Filed under: bovine gut metagenome
Source: RNAcentral
CAUCGUGAGGUGAAAUCUGAAGGAAGCUGGAUGUGGGAGCAGACUAACCAUGGGCAAACCUUUGGCCUGACGAACGGAAAUCACAUAAAAUCACAUAUAAGGCAACGCAUGAGGGUAAGACUGCUGAACAAGGCGAAGCCCGAUAACUACACGGAAUCAUGCGGGGUAAAUGUGGCAGGUAGACGGAGAAAAAGAA